CCUACGGGCGGCAGCAGUGGGGGAUAUUGCACAAUGGGGGAAACCCUGAUGCAGCGACGCCGCGUGUGGGAAGACGGUCCUCUGGAUUGUAAACCACUGUCCCCAGGGACGAAGAUGACGGUACCUGGGGAGGAAGCUCCGGCUAACUACGUGCCAGCAGCCGCGGUAAUACGUAGGGAGCGAGCGUUGUCCGGAAUUACUGGGUGGAAAGGGAGGGUAGGCGGGACUGCAAGUUGGGUGUCAAAUCUACCGGCUCAACCGGUAGCCGCACUCAAAACUGCAGUUCUUGAGUGAAGUAGAGGCAGGCGGAAUUCCUAGUGUAGCGGUGAAAUGCGUAGAUAUUAGGAGGAACACCAGUGGCGAAGGCGGCCUGCUGGGCUUUUACUGACGCUGAGGCUCGAAAGUGUGGGGAGCAAACAGGAUUAGAUACCCCAGUAGUC
RNAcentral lists this ribosomal RNA (440 nucleotides) under uncultured bacterium. Its description in RNAcentral is "partial 16S ribosomal RNA". It matches the Rfam family "Bacterial small subunit ribosomal RNA", at positions 338 to 795 of the family's 1533-position model. The record is from RNAcentral.